RNAcentral lists this long non-coding RNA (675 nucleotides) under Homo sapiens (human). Its description in RNAcentral is "novel transcript". Lineage: Eukaryota; Metazoa; Chordata; Mammalia; Primates; Hominidae. The record is from RNAcentral.
GCCCUCCCCACGCGCGGGGGCGCCCUGACAGUCCCCUGCUGCUCCUCUGCUGGGCGCCACAACUUUCCCCAACCCGUGCCAACUUCCAGGGCACAGCCUCUGCGGAGAGUAGCAGGGUACAGUGAAUAACCCAGACACUAAAAAGCAAGGCAGCGGGGGUCCUACCAGCGCGGCUUUUGAUGACGUCGGUGAAUCCGUCCUCAGCGGCAUUUUCUGGGGUCUCCUGCAGACCCCUCAGCUGUGCCAUAACCAAACGCCACGUGCCUCAGCUUCCUCACGCCCCAAACUUUGGAAGGCAGGUCACAUGGAAUCUACACAUGGAAGGACAUAGGCAUUGCAUGCAGGUAUCCGGAAUCAUUGAUAUUGGUCUUAAAAUUUGGAAGUUUCCACUUUUGCUAAGAAAAGGCACGUGUUGGUGAUCAGAUGACCCCCAGAAAAACUGCAGAUGCCCAUGUGAGGACACAACAAGAAGGCAUCACCAAUGAAGAAUAGGCCUUCAUCAGACAUCCAAUCUGCAGGCCUCUUGAUCUUGGACUUCCUAAUCUACAGAAUUAUCUACUGCAUUUUGUGUAACCAUCAUUCAUCAACUCAUGGACAUUUGAGUUACUUCCACUUCUUGGCUACAGUGAAUAUUGCUGCGCUAAACACUCACAUAAAAAUCUUUGUGUGAACAUA